UACGUAGGUGGCAAGCGUUGUCCGGAAUUAUUGGGCGUAAAGCGCACGUAGGCGGACAUUUAAGUCAGGGGUGAAAUCCCGGGGCUCAACUCCGGAACGGCCUUUGAUACUGGGUGUCUUGAGUUCGGAAGAGGUGAGUGGAAUUCCGGGUGUAGCGGUGGAAUGCGUAGAGAUCCGGAAGAACACCGGUGGCGAAGGCGGCCUGCUGGGCAGUGGCUGACGCUGAGGCGCGACAGCGUGGGGAGCAAACAGG
This 253-nucleotide ribosomal RNA is filed under the name uncultured bacterium. RNAcentral's name for it is "partial 16S ribosomal RNA". It matches the Rfam family "Bacterial small subunit ribosomal RNA", at positions 524 to 776 of the family's 1533-position model. The record is from RNAcentral.